CGCAUCUGUGCAUGCAGCAUAUCAAUAAGCGGAGGAAAAGCUUACCUACGCUUAGGAUGUUGAAGAUAUGCGCGACACGACUCUAUACAUGACUCUGCGCAUAUCAAUAAGCGGAGGAAAAGAAACUAACAAGGAUUCCCUUAGUAACGGCGAGUGAAGCGGGAAGAGCUCAAAUUUGAAAUCUUCAAGGUUUUACCUUGACGAAUUGUAGUUUAAAGAAGUGUUUUCUGCUGAAGUUUUGGUAAAAGUUCUUUGGAAUAGGACAUCAUAGAGGGUGAGAAUCCCGUAUUUGACCAUUAUUUUCAGCUGUGUGAUACACUUUCAAAGAGUCGGAUUGUUUGGGAAUGCAGUCCAAAAUGGGUGGUAAAUUUCAUCUAAAGCUAAAUAUUGGCGAGAGACCGAUAGCGAACAAGUACCGUGAGGGAAAGAUGAAAAGAACUUUGAAAAGAGAGUUAAACAGUACGUGAAAUUGUCAAAAGGGAAGCGUUUGACACCAGUGUUGUUUUCUCGAAAAUCAAUUAAAAAUGGCUCGAUUUUGUAUUGCUGAGACCUUAAAAGCUCGCUGUACAUUUUUCGUGUCUUUUUUAAUGCACUUUUCGUUUAACAAGUCAACAUCAGUUUCUUUUGUUGUAAAAGGGUCAUUGGAAGGUGGCUUUCUUUUCGGAGAAAGUGUUUAUAGCCUUUGGCCUCUGCAAUCGAAGAGACUGAGGUCUGCAGCGUAGACUCUUCGGGGUUAGAUACAUUUGUGCUAAGUUAUAGCUUUUUAUAGACAACUUGUUGACUAUAAUUAGUCUUGUAGCUUACUCGCUUAUGCUAUUUUACCUACGCUUAGGAUGUUGAAGAUAUGCGCGACACG
This 856-nucleotide ribosomal RNA is filed under the name uncultured Neocallimastigales. Its description in RNAcentral is "partial large subunit ribosomal RNA". It matches the Rfam family "Eukaryotic large subunit ribosomal RNA", at positions 1 to 644 of the family's 3401-position model. Lineage: Eukaryota; Fungi; Neocallimastigomycota; Neocallimastigomycetes; Neocallimastigales. The record is from RNAcentral.